Molecule: long non-coding RNA, 514 nt
Organism: Tympanuchus pallidicinctus (lesser prairie-chicken)
Lineage: Eukaryota; Metazoa; Chordata; Aves; Galliformes; Phasianidae
Exons: 3
Source: RefSeq, a predicted model, not a curated record
UGGGCUUGUUCAGCCUGGAGAAAAGAAGGCUGUGGGGUGACCUCAUGGCAGCCUUUCAGUACCUAAAGGGAGCCUACAGACAGGAGGGGAAUCAACUCUUUGAAAGGGGAAAUAACAGCAGGACAAGGGGAAAUGGCUUUAAGUUGAAGGAGGGAAGAUUUAGGUUGGAUGUCAGGGGGAAGUUCUUUACUAUGAGAGUGGUGAGGUGCUGGAACAGCUGCCCAGAGAGGCUGUGAUGCCCCGUCCAUCCCUGGAGGUGUUCAAGGCCAGGUUGGAUGGGGCCCUGGGCAGCCUGGGCUGCUAUGAAAUGUGGAGGUUGGUGGCCCCGCGUGUGGAGGGGGGUUGGAGCUUCAUGAUCCUUGAGGUCCCUUCCAACCCAACCAUUCUGUGAUUCUGUGAAAAGCUUCAGCCAAGUCUGGAUGCUUCUCAACACUGUCCACCAGUGAGCUGCCCAGCACCAACAGCAAAGCCGUAAUUAAGGAACAAGAACUUUGGAGACAAUGCACACAUGUGA